GUGUUCCGGUAGCGCAAUGGAUAGCGCGUUGAACUUCUAAUCCAAGGGUCUUGGGUUCGAAUCUCGACCGGCAUG
This is a non-coding RNA of Trichonephila inaurata madagascariensis, 75 nucleotides long. NCBI's taxonomy places the organism in Eukaryota, Metazoa, Arthropoda, Arachnida, Araneae, Nephilidae. The record is from the annotation of a GenBank genome assembly.